Centropristis striata (black sea bass) is the source of this 181-nucleotide long non-coding RNA. RefSeq lists it as uncharacterized. The transcript is spliced from 3 exons. NCBI's taxonomy places the organism in Eukaryota, Metazoa, Chordata, Actinopteri, Perciformes, Serranidae. The record is from RefSeq and is a predicted model, not a curated record.
UCCCCUACAAGUCCACUGUGGAGCACUUCCCUUUGGACUGCCUUGAGCUGUGGAGCUGGCGCGAUGGUAUUCACCUGAGCGACACUCUUGGGAUGGGGAUCCUGGUGAAGCUGUUUUGGGCUGCUGCCUGUCAGACACUGGAGCCAGCUGCACCCGCGCCUGUGCCUGCAGCUCCUCCUGC